CAACCCUCAAGCGCUGUUCCGCUUGGCGUUGGGGCUCUUACAGUGGGCAUUUACUGUCCUGUAAGCCCUGAAAUUCAGCGGCGAGCCCGCCGGCACACCGAGCGUAGUAAAACUACUUCCGUUCUGGGCGUGCGGCGAGGUUCAGCCUGCCAACCAUAUUUUCUAA
RNAcentral lists this unclassified non-coding RNA (166 nucleotides) under uncultured Togniniales. RNAcentral's name for it is "sequence contains ITS2". Lineage: Eukaryota; Fungi; Ascomycota; Sordariomycetes; Togniniales. The record is from RNAcentral.